RNAcentral lists this ribosomal RNA (546 nucleotides) under uncultured bacterium. RNAcentral describes it as "bacterial SSU rRNA". It matches the Rfam family "Bacterial small subunit ribosomal RNA", at positions 340 to 877 of the family's 1533-position model. The record is from RNAcentral.
UACGGGAGGCAGCAGUAGGGAAUCUUCCACAAUGGACGCAAGUCUGAUGGAGCAACGCCGCGUGAGUGAAGAAGGGUUUCGGCUCGUAAAGCUCUGUUGUUGGUGAAGAAGGACAGGGGUAGUAACUGACCUUUGUUUGACGGUAAUCAAUUAGAAAGUCACGGCUAACUACGUGCCAGCAGCCGCGGUAAUACGUAGGUGGCAAGCGUUGUCCGGAUUUAUUGGGCGUAAAGCGAGUGCAGGCGGCUCGAUAAGUCUGAUGUGAAAGCCUUCGGCUCAACCGGAGAAUUGCAUCAGAAACUGUCGAGCUUGAGUACAGAAGAGGAGAGUGGAACUCCAUGUGUAGCGGUGAAAUGCGUAGAUAUAUGGAAGAACACCGGUGGCGAAGGCGGCUCUCUGGUCUGUUACUGACGCUGAGGCUCGAAAGCAUGGGUAGCGAACAGGAUUAGAUACCCUGGUAGUCCAUGCCGUAAACGAUGAGUGCUAAGUGUUGGGAGGUUUCCGCCUCUCAGUGCUGCAGCUAACGCAUUAAGCACUCCGCCUGGG